AAAAAGAUAAAAUGUGGGUUCCUGUGUCAACGUUUGACUGUCCGUUUUAUAUAAAUUUUUUUUAUAAUUAGUAUUUUCAUUGUUGAUAGAUGAUAAAACAUGAUUAAUACUUUAUGCGUGACUUGUCUUUUUAAUUUUUUUUCAUAAUUUUUUUAAAUAAGACGGACGGUCAAACGUUAGACACGGAAACCAGAGUCUGUCUUUUUU
Molecule: microRNA precursor, 207 nt
Organism: Oryza rufipogon (brownbeard rice)
Lineage: Eukaryota; Viridiplantae; Streptophyta; Magnoliopsida; Poales; Poaceae
Rfam family: MIR812 microRNA precursor family
Source: Rfam